GACGAACGCUGGCGGCGUGCCUAAUACAUGCAAGUUGAGCGCUGAAGGUUGGUACUUGUACCAACUGGAUGAGCAGCGAACGGGUGAGUAACGCGUGGGGAAUCUGCCUUUGAGCGGGGGACAACAUUUGGAAACGAAUGCUAAUACCGCAUAAAAACUUUAAACACAAGUUUUAAGUUUGAAAGAUGCAAUUGCAUCACUCAAAGAUGAUCCCGCGUUGUAUUAGCUAGUUGGUGAGGUAAAGGCUCACCAAGGCGAUGAUACAUAGCCGACCUGAGAGGGUGAUCGGCCAAAUUGGGACUGGGACACGGCCCAAACUCCUACGGGAGGCAGCAGUAGGGAAUCUUCGGCAAUGGACGAAAGUCUGACCGAGCAACGCCGCGGGAGUGAAGAAGGUUUUCGGAUCGUAAAACUCUGUUGGUAGAGAAGAACGUUGGUGAGGGUGGAAAGCUCAUCAAGUGACGGUAACUACCCAGAAAGGGACGGCUAACUACGUG
RNAcentral lists this ribosomal RNA (497 nucleotides) under uncultured bacterium. Its description in RNAcentral is "partial 16S ribosomal RNA". It matches the Rfam family "Bacterial small subunit ribosomal RNA", at positions 28 to 507 of the family's 1533-position model. The record is from RNAcentral.